CAGCCGCCACGGUAAUACGAAGGGGGCUAGCGUUGCUCGGAAUUACUGGGCGUAAAGGGAGCGUAGGCGGACUGUUUAGUCAGAGGUGAAAGCCAGGGCUCAACCUUGGAAUUGCCUUUGAUACUGGCAGUCUUGAGUACGGAAGAGGUAUGUGGAACUCCGAGUGUAGAGGUGAAAUUCGUAGAUAUUCGGGAGAACACCAGUGGCGAAGGCGGCUAUCUGGGACGACACUGACGCUGAGGCACGAAAGCGUGGGGAGCAAACAGGAUUAGAUACCCGUGUAGUCCCUGUCUCUUAUACC
RNAcentral lists this ribosomal RNA (301 nucleotides) under uncultured bacterium. RNAcentral describes it as "partial 16S ribosomal RNA". It matches the Rfam family "Bacterial small subunit ribosomal RNA", at positions 509 to 808 of the family's 1533-position model. The record is from RNAcentral.